GUUUCAUAUGAGAUUCUUGGUGCAUUUGCAAUUAGUGCAGUAUUAAGAUCAUCAGUUGCUACAUGAUGCACCUCCUUUUGCUUCUCAAUACUCAAAAUCAUUGAAUAUGCCUUAUUCACAUUAGGAACGGGAUCCAUAAUCAGUAUUUGAUUUCGACUAUGAUCAUAUCCCUCAUUUAACCCCAUUAAAUAUUGCAUCAGUUUAUCUGCCUCAUCAAUGUUACUCAUAUUUUUUGCAGCACCACAG
Molecule: unclassified non-coding RNA, 246 nt
Filed under: Hevea brasiliensis (rubber tree)
Lineage: Eukaryota; Viridiplantae; Streptophyta; Magnoliopsida; Malpighiales; Euphorbiaceae
Source: RNAcentral